AUGGCCGAGUACCACCUCAGCGCGCAGCUCCACGGCCACGAGGAUGAUGUUCGUGGGAUCUGUAUCUGUGGUGAUGUGGGGGUCGCAACAUCGUCAAGAGAUAAAACGGUGAGAUUCUGGAUGCAGGACCCGGAAAAGAAGCGCGAAUAUGUCCUCUCAAAAACACUUGUAGGACAUUCCAGUUUUGUUGGCCCGAUGGUUUGGGCCCCACCUUCUGAUCGCUUUCCGGAAGGAGCGAUUGUUUCUGGUGGCAUGGAUACGCUAGUAUUGCUAUGGAAUUUGCAUACAGGAGAAGUUGUUGGAACAAUGAGGGGUCACACCUCACAGGUGACUGGUCUUGCUAUCGACGACAACGGUGACAUUAUAUCUUCAUCGAUGGAUUGUACUUUAAGAAGGUGGAGAGAUGGCAAUGCUGUAGAAGUUUGGGAGGCUCAUAAAGUUGCAGUGCAAACUGUUCUAAAGCUGCCCUCGGGAGAACUAUUUACGGGUUCAAGUGAUUCCACCAUUAAACUUUGGAAAGGAAGGACUUGUCUACAUACAUUCUCUGGGCAUGCAGACACUGUUCGAUGUUUAGCACAGAUGCCAGGGAUGGGUAUACUUUCUGCAUCACAUGAUGGAACUAUAAAGUUAUGGGCAUUAACUGGCCAACCCCUGUUGGAGAUGAUUGGCCAUACCUCUCUUGUAUAUUCUGUGGAUGCGCAUUCAUCUGGUCUAAUUGCUAGUGGCAGUGAAGAUCGCUCUGUCAAGAUAUGGAAAGAUGGAAUCUGUGUUCAGAGCAUUGAACACCCAGGAUGUAUAUGGGAUGCUAAAUUUUUGGAUAAUGGAGAUGUUGUUACUGCAUGUUCUGACGGAGUUGUGAGGAUAUGGACAACCGACAAUAAUAGGUUCUGCAGUGAUGAGGAGCUUGCAACAUAUACCGAUAUUAUUUCUCAGUACACACUAAGCAGAAAGACUGUUGGUGGACUGAAGUUGAUGGAUCUACCAGGAGUUGAGGCACUGCAAGUUCAAGGAAACACUGAUGGGCAAACUCUAAUUGUUAGAGAGGGCGAUAACGGUGUUGCUUAUUCAUGGAAUUCAAAAGAGCUAAAAUGGGACAAAAUUGGUGAGGUGGUGGAUGGACCUGGGGAUGCUGCACAAGGUCAGGUUUAUGAUGGUGCUCACUAUGACUUCGUUUUUAAUGUUGACAUUGGAGAUGGAGAACCCAUUCGGAAACUGCCCUACAAUCGAUCAGAUGAUCCAUACGCAGUUGCAGACAAAUGGCUCCUGAAAGAAAAUCUUCCUUUGACAUAUCGCCAGCAAGUUGUAGAAUUCAUACUGCAAAAUUCUGGGCAGAACAAUUUUGUUCCAGAUCCAUCUUUCCGCGAUCCCUAUACUGGGGGUAAUGCAUAUGUACCCGGGCAACCGUCUUCUUCAAAUGGCAGUGCCCCAAAACAAACUUUCAAGCACAUACCGAAGAACGGAAUGUUACUAUUUGAGACGGCUCAGUUUGAGGGAAUCCUUAAGAAAAUUACAGAAUUCAGUGCAACACUUGCAUCUGACUCGGAACAAAAACAUCUAUCCUUGUCCGAGGCAGACUUUUCAAGAUUAGCUGCUAUAGUGAAAGUAUUGAAAAAUACAUCAUUUUAUCACACAAGCAAGCUUGCAGAUGCUGACAUCGUGUUGUUGCUAAAAAUAUUGAAGUCUUGGCCUUCACAGAUGAUGUUUCCAGUUAUUGAUUUUCUGAGGAUGUUUGUGUUGCAUCCUGACGGGGCUACUUUACUUCUUAAGACCAUUGAAAGUGGAAACGAUGUACUCAGGGAAACUUUCCGUAAGGCUGUAGCAAUACCUGUGCACUCACCGAAUGUGCUUACAAUCCUCAAAGCAGUUACUAACUUAUUUGACAACCCAUGCUUACACCAAUGGUUGAAAACCCAUUGUGCUGAGAUUAUUGAUUCUUUCUCGAGCUGCAAGCCGUCUUUUAGCAAGAACGCUCACUUGGCAUAUGCAACACUUUUACUGAACUAUUCUGUUCUUUCAAUUGAAUCGAAGGAUGAACAAAGUCAGGCACAAAUUCUUUCUGCGGCCCUUGAAAUUGCUGAAGACGAUGCCCAAGAUGCCGAUUCGAAAUACAGGGCCCUUGUUGCAAUCGGCUCUCUUAUGUUGAACGGCCUGGUCAAGUCCAUCGCCCUUGACCUCGACGUGAAGAGCGUCGCAAGCAGCGCAAAAGCUUCCAUGGACUUGAAGAUCGCCGAAGUCGGAGCUGAUAUCGAGCUGCUAACAAGAUGA
RNAcentral lists this ribosomal RNA (2265 nucleotides) under Triticum aestivum (bread wheat). RNAcentral's name for it is "partial small subunit ribosomal RNA". The record is from RNAcentral. Lineage: Eukaryota; Viridiplantae; Streptophyta; Magnoliopsida; Poales; Poaceae.